GUCUGCUUGGUGCCUCAUGCCAACCCUCUCUCAGCACCUUAGAGCCAUACUCAGCGCCCUAGCACCUUGCUCAUUGCCUCUGAUCGCAGUCUCUGCUUGCCCAGCCCUCUCUUAGUGCGCCUCUCUGCUCGUGCCUCACACCACUCUCUUAGCACCUUAGGGCCGCUCUCUCACGCCCUAGCACAUCACUUAGCACUCUAGUACCAC
This 207-nucleotide long non-coding RNA is filed under the name Selaginella moellendorffii. RNAcentral's name for it is "long non-coding RNA (SMOE_LNC001312)". The record is from RNAcentral. Lineage: Eukaryota; Viridiplantae; Streptophyta; Lycopodiopsida; Selaginellales; Selaginellaceae.